GACGAACGCUGGCGGCGUGCUUAACACAUGCAAGUCGAACGGAAAGGCCCUGCUUUUGUGGGGUGCUCGAGUGGCGAACGGGUGAGUAACACGUGAGUAACCUGCCCUUGACUUUGGGAUAACUUCAGGAAACUGGGGCUAAUACCGGAUAGGAGCUCCUGCUGCAUGGUGGGGGUUGGAAAGUUUCGGCGGUUGGGGAUGGACUCGCGGCUUAUCAGCUUGUUGGUGGGGUAGUGGCUUACCAAGGCUUUGACGGGUAGCCGGCCUGAGAGGGUGACCGGCCACAUAGGAGAAGGGGAACCGCCCAGGCCCCAAGGGGGGGGAGGAGGGGAAAAAAUAGCACAAGGGGCGGAAGCGUGGUGGAGAAACGCCGGGUGGGGGAAGACGGCCUUGGGGUUGUAAACCGGUUUAGCCUGGGACGAAGCGUGAGUAGGGGUAAUGGGAAAAGAGGCACGGGCAAACUACGU
Molecule: ribosomal RNA, 467 nt
Filed under: uncultured bacterium
Lineage: Bacteria
Description: partial 16S ribosomal RNA
Rfam family: Bacterial small subunit ribosomal RNA
Source: RNAcentral